This is an RNA transcript of Conger conger (European conger), 8682 nucleotides long. RefSeq lists it as uncharacterized. NCBI's taxonomy places the organism in Eukaryota, Metazoa, Chordata, Actinopteri, Anguilliformes, Congridae. The record is from RefSeq and is a predicted model, not a curated record. The transcript has 15 exons.
ACGAAUACUUUUUAUCUUGAUUUGUUAUAAGUAAACAGCUUUUCUUAGCCUAAUUCACUUUUAGUAGCCUAGCUUAAUUACUUUCGAGUUUUCACGUCCUCUUAUGUAGACUUAUGUAGACUUAUGAUGAAGGUCAAGAUGAGAGUUCUCUGUUUGUUUCUGUCGUUGAUCUGCGUUAUCAGGACCGAAGAACAGCUGGCGGUGACUGGUGCAGACGUGCCCGUAUUUGCAUAUUUGGGUGAAGAUGUGAUUCUGAACUGCUCAGUGGACACCCAUGUUCCUCUCGGAGAGUUAGAAGUCGAGUGGAUAAAGACAAAUGAAGAAAUCCAGGUGCUGCUGUUUAUGGAGGGGCGGUACAGAGCGGAGUCACAGCCUGAGAGAUUCAGAGGGCGUGCUGAGUUCUUCAGUGAGGAGAUUCCCAAAGGCAACUUCUCUCUGAAACUGAGGGAUGUAAAAACUGAAGACAGAGGGGAAUUCAUGUGCAGAGUCCAUACAGACAGAAAAUCAGUCAAUGCAACGGCUUGGCUACAAAAACAGGGUUUUCCCUCCUCACAUGUGUGCGUCCUGGGUUUCACCAUGGCUGCUGCAGUGUUUGCAGUUGUAAGCAGCAUUCCUGCUGUUUGCUGCAUAAAAAAAGCACAAAAAGAAAAACGAAAGGAAGUUAAAAGCAAGGGGGUUGUGUUGCUAUAUCACCUUCAAGUUUCCAUUCCAUGCAUCUUGUUAACCAUCGCCUUUGCCAUAUGGGGUAAAAUUGAAAGCUCUGUUGGAGAGGCCUAUGUUUGCAGUAUUAUACACUUUGUGAGGAUCCUAGUGAUAUUUAAGGUGGCUCCAUAUGUACUUCCUGGUACACGUUAUGAGAGAUUAACAAACAUGGCACUGCCUUUGGAGUCGUUUCUCAUUAUAAUAGGGAUAAAUUCUGGGUUCAUGCAUUCCUCGGGGUAUGAGUACCAAUCUAUUUUAUUGCAACUGGAAAUUUUGUUUCUGCUUUUCACACUUUCUACAUUCGGUUUUACAGCAGUGUUCCUGUUAUGGAUGAUGAUCCCGAGUGUGAGGCGAACACUGUCUUUUUGGCAGUCAGAUCUGAACAGGAAAAAAUAUGGAUAUUUCAUUGAGAAAGUCAUUGAAGUGCUUAAGGACAUUCUUAGAAGUAUAUUCUACCUUCUAUUUCUGCACAUCCUUUUAGAAAAGGAUAAACAACAACGUGCACUGGUGUGUUUGGUGGCGUUCCUCUCCAUCCUGAAUGCAGUAGUGCGUUUUAAUCACAGGAUUAAUCUACCUGAUAUAGCUCAUAUCCUAGUGUACGUGUUUGGUUCUGCUGUCCUAAGUGUCCUUAAUUCAGUUGCUCUAGCAACAGAAGUGUUUCUGAAAGCAGAAAAUGGGAAGCGAACUGUGGAAGAUCUUCGAGUGAUCGUCUUGCCUCUUGAAUCUUUAUUUUUGGCCUUUUGGCUUUGUUUACAGGUGUAUGCCUUCUGUAAGUAUCUCUUGGAAACAUUACUAAGACUUAGUACAUUUCAAAUAUCCAUGGUACUCACAUCAUCCCUUAAAAUUGAAAGGAACAUUAUGCAUGUGUUGAUGCAAUUUUGUUACAAUUUGCUAAAUUAUGACCUUCUCUGUUACUUUCUGGAAUACAGGUGUGCAGGAUAAAAAAAUAACAGAACAGCUGAGUCAACUUUUCCAGAGCUGCAAAAAGCAACUCCGAUGUCCAGCAUCAUCUCAGCAAAAUCAGGAAGCUGUAGAGGUGGACCCUCUCUCUCCACCUGAGCAGAGUACAGCACACAGACAGGAGGUAUUUAUCUAUGAGUCAGUCUGUCCACAAGGGGGCAUUUUCUGCAGUCCUAAAGAUGGCAACUUGCACAGUUUCUAGUGUAGAAAACAGUGAAGAAGAUACAUUUGCAAAACAUAAUGGGAAAUAGAGUACAAAGAUCAGAUGUUAUUGUUCAAUACACAAAGUUCAAUACUGAAGGAUCUUGAAAGAUUCUGUGGGGAAAAAUUCCCCCCAUACAGUAUAUUUAACAAUCUCAUAACCAUCUCAUAACCAUCUCAUAAUCAUCCCAUAACCAUCUCAUACUGCAGUAGAGACUCAUUAGUGUUAUCCUUAUGAAGCCAUGGUCCGAAAAGUACUGAGAAAAAGUGUGAAUAUUAACAGCACUUAUUCCUUGGGCAAUACAUUUGAAAAUUGAGUGUUGGUGGAUUUUGUUUAUUAAACUACUAAAAUUUGAAUAUGUUUGAAAUCUGGGAAUGAAAAUAAGUCAAAUCAAAGUGUACAUGUGUGCAUCUCUUUGAAUGUUCAGAUAUUCCGUAGUAACUUCACGUGUAGGUUUCCAAAAUGAAGUUCUCACAUGUACAGUUCUGUUAAAAAAAAAUAGCAGUACAACAUCAGUAACCUGAUGAACCACUGUUAUUAGUGAUAUUUCUGCAUGGCAAACAUUUACUUGUAGAUGUAGUAGUGUAAUAGAAAAACAACAGACCCAACUGUCAUGACAUGCAUGCUGCUUGUUCUGAGUAAUUGAUUCAUUCAUUGAAAAGGGCGUGUUCAAAAUAAUAGCAGUGUGAAUUAAUUAGAGAAUGAAUUCAUUCUGUGAAAAAACAGGUGUCAUUAAUUGUCCUUUAUUAAGGAAGAAGGGAAACAAAUGUUUCACACAUUGUUAUAUAUUUCCUUCUGAAUUGAAAUGGACCGUUCCAAACAUUGUUUGGAGGAACAACGUCAUUUGAUUAAAAAGUUGAUUGGAGAGGGGGAAACGUAUAAAGAAGUGCAGCAUUAUUAUAGGAUGCUCAGCUAAAAUGAUCUCAAAUGCUUUAAAAUGGCAACAAAAACCCGAAACACGCAGAACAACAUUAGCAACUACUGUUAAAACGGUCAGAAUGGCAAAGAUUCAGCCAUUCACCAGCUCCAGAAAUAUCAAAGAUCAUCUACAAUUACCCAUAAAUGCUGUUACAGUCAGAAGAUGUUUGAUCGAAGCUAAACUAUCAGCAAGAAGCCCCCAUAAAGCACCAUUGUUGAAAAAACGGCAUGUCCAGAAUCGGUUCAAAUUUGCCAAGGAACACAUCGAUUGGCCCAAAGAGAAAUGGCGUAACAUUCUGUACACUGAUGAGAGUAAAAUGGUUCUUUUCGGGUCUAGUGGUCAUCGACAGUACGUCAGAUGACCCCCGGGUACUGAAUUCAAGCCACUGUACACUGAAGACCGUAAAGCAUGGUGGCGCAAAAAUCAUGGUAUGGGGAUGUUUUUAAUACUACAGUGUUGGGUUCGUAUACCAGGGAUCAUGGAUCAGUUUGAAUACAUCAAAAUACUUGAAGAGAUGAUGUUGCCGUAUGCCAAAGAGGAAAUAACCCUGAAAUGGGUGUUUCAACAAGGCAACAACCCCAAACACACAAGUAGGCGAGCAACAUCUUGGUUCCAGACUAAAAGGAUUGAGGUAAUGAAGUGGCCAACUCAAUCCCCUGGCCUCAACCCCAUUGAAAACUUCUGGGGUGACAUUAAAAAUGCAGUUUUUGAAGCAAAACCCAAAAAUUCACAGGAACUGUGGAAUGCAGUUCGGCUGAAAUACCUGUUUCUAGGUGCCAGAAGUUGGUUGACUUGAUGCAACGCAGAUGCGCAACAGUUAUCAAAAAUAAUGGUUAUUCAACUAAAUAUUAGUCCAGUAAUUUAAAGUGAAGUUAAAUCUUGAAAAAUGUCUUCAGUUUAUACAGUAAGUGUUUGAGUUUGAAGAGAAAAAUGUCAACUCUGCCAUUUUUUUGAACUGACUAAUAUUCCUUUUCUUUGCUUCCUGUAAAAGAAUAACGCAGACUUGAUAAAAUUUGGUAAUGCUUUGAUUUGGAAUUGAAUGUGUAAUGUUUCCACUACAUUUGAAAUAUGGAACUAAAUGCUAUAAAAAAAUAUUUGCACUUUAUUCACUUUUUUUAAAUACACCGCAAUUUAUUUGAACACAACUCUAAGUGAUGCGUUUCAUGUAUAAAUUCAACAUAAUUUCUCUGUGUAGACACCACAGGAAGCUGAAGAGACAGUACCCCUCUCUCCAUCGGCAGAGAAUAUCACACACACAGGAGUUUUAUAGGGAAUAUGAAGAUGGGUGUCUCAGUGAGGUGUAAAGGAUCCUUUCUUGUCGAAAUAAGGACAUACUUUUCCGCCAAAUUCCGAGGACCCACAGUACACUUUGCAGUAUUGUGCUUUUCUAAUUGGUACACUGAAUUAUGACAUCAUUCAUAAAAUAUCAGUUCUCCCUUUCCUUGCUAAUACUGCUCCAUGCCGAAAACAUGUUCCUGCUUUGUUUGAAGCCAGGGUUAUCAUGGAUGCUUGUAUUUCUACUGCUUCUUUCUGUUUUACAGAGCUCAUAAAGUCAGCUGAGAGGAAAGCUGCACUUGAAUGGUGCAUUAUGACAGAGUUAUGUUAAUAAAUUGAUGUUACUUGUUUUGUAUUUGUAUUGCGUGAUUAAAAAAAAGAAUUUGCUACAAAAAAUGAAAUAGAAUACUUUAAAAAAUAAAUGAAUGUUGCUUGAAUGUAUUUGUAGGGGUUUUAGACGGUGAAGGUUGAUACUGGGUGGUGGCAAAAGCAAAGCAAAUCUGACAUUAUGUUCGGCUCUGAGAUUAGUACAGAAGUUACGAUGCAAGUUUGGAUCAUCAUUAGAGAUUAUUAAUUAUCAUAGGCCAUGCCUGACAAACCUUUUGGCAUUGUUUGAGCAGGCCACCAAGUGUUUUGAUGUUAGCAGGGUUUAGGGCAUUAUACACUCAGUGAGCACUAGGUAUGUAUUCACUUUUAUUUUAGACUUAAGUCUUCUGCUGCUGUAGCCUAUCCACUUUAUACAGGCAUCAGAGAUGUUUUUUUUGUUUUUCGCACCAUUCUCUGUAAACUUUAGAGACUGCAGAUCAACAGUUUGAGAUACUCAAACCACCCUGUCUGGCACUAACAAUCAUUCCACGGUCAAGGUCACUUAGAUCAUAUUUUUUUCCCCUUUCUGAUGGUUGAUGUGAACAUUAACUGAAGCUCCUGUCCCGUAUCUGCCUGAUUGUAUGCAUUGCACUGCUGCCACACGAUUGGCUGAUUAGAUACUCACAUGAAUAAGUAGGUGUACAGAUUUCCAAAAAGCAUUUGAUUUGUUCUAUAGCUGCUGUAUGUGUGUACCAAGGGUCACCUCCAUCUUGAAUUGGCGGCAAUUUUUGAAUAUUAUUACCAAUUUUCCUCUUUCUACAUUUGGCCUAAUUACAGAAGCGAUUCUUACAAAAUCUCCCCCAUAGCUCUCAAACCCCCAAACAGUGGCAAGAAAAAAAACUCCCCGAUGGGAGAAAUCUCAAGAGGAACCCGGCUACCGGGGGGUGCCCGUCCUCCACUGGCCGAUAAGUUGAGUUGGUCACAGUUGAGGUCGCCUCUUAAACUAGCAGAGAGUCUACAUGAAGGGAUAUAAAGUAUGCAGUUGAGAGGGCUGGAGGGUACCGCAUGGGGAUGUACCAGGGGAACAGGGUGCCGGAAUAUGCCUGCGACAUUAUUCCAUAAAAUAGGAGUCCUUGUAAGAGAAGGCUCUGGACUUUUAACCCUCCUAUUACGUUAAGAUUUUAUGACCGGUUUUGUGGUCAAAUUGAGAAUUAUAAUUUUUCUAAUUUCAUGACUUUACAAUUGAUUGAAUUUUAAUGAGACCUCAAAAUUCUAACUUUCUAGGAUGAAUUAUUCAUAGACUUAACAUGGGGAGACACAAUGCUAAUGCUAUGAAUGAGGAUAAUUUGAAUGGACAUGAGGCCGUUAUGUUCCACAACGUUAUCGCGUGCGGAAGGUUCUAGCCAUAUCUCCUGGCUUUGCACGCACAAAUUAUUUGUGGGGUUAUUUAUGUUUUUUUAUUUUAUUGUUUCACGUGCAAAAAAAUAAAAUAAGAUAAAUACUAUGCAUUACUAGUCUACUAAGGCUAAACAUAAAUGAAUAGGCUAUAGGUUAAUGAAUAGGAUAUAGGCUAUGCAGCGGCCUGUAGCGUAGUGGUUAAGGUAAAUGACUGGGACACGUGAGGUCGGUGGUUCUAAUCCCGGUCUAGCCACAAUAUGAUCAUGCAGCCAUUGGGCCCUUGAGCAGGGCCCUUGAGCAAGGCCCUUAAACCUGCAUUGCACCAGGGGAGGACUGUCUCCUGCGUAGUCUAAUCAACUGUAUGUCGCUCUGGAUAAGAGCAUCUGCCAAAUGCCAAUAAUGUAAUGUAAUGUAAUGAUAAGCAAAUAUACAGGAUGGCAUUAACAAUGAGAAAUAAAUAGGCUGUUGUCACUUUUGUCAUCAAGACCCUUCUCUGAGCUCACUUGCAAAAGUUAAGGCUAUUCAGUAGACAAAUGCUCUAAGCAAGCCACCAAACAAAAAUGCAUUAUGCAAACCCUUGGUUUUUUUCUUCCUCUAAGUUAACACAAAGGGCACAAUUGAGGCCCUUACUUUAGUGCGCUGUGCACUAAAACAGGCAGUGUGGUAAAAAUGUGUCAUGGAAUAAGGGCUAAGCAUAUGGAAUAUGGAAUGGAAUGUAUGUGUAGACUCAGAUUUUAGCACACAGAGCCUCAAAAUUGCACCAAUUCUGACUAAUCUGAAUGACAUAGGAUAUCAUACAUUACAUCAUAUAUUGUUACCAUAAGACAAUUAGAUGUUGUUUGACAAUAUUUAAGGCCAUUAAAGUCAUUGACUGUGUUCUGCAGAACAAGCUACAAGGUGUAGAGCAAUCCCUGCUGUGGUACACCAGCAUAAUACCAUUUUACAGGCUUGUUUCAAUCUGAGAAGAAGAAUAACAUGAAGUGACUGGAUAAGUAACACAGGCAUAACAGCUGGUGAGAAUGUGAUUUUGGACAAAGCAACAAAUAAGAAAUCUACCUAAUGUGGAUAACUAAUCUAAAUUAUUAUUCUAAAAUGGAGUCAGAUAAACAAAGGUGAAUCUAUUGGCCCUAUUGUGGAGAUUCUUGGUCAGCCCGGACCAGUAAAGAGCGGAAGGCAGAGUGGUACUCCUGUCUUUGUAUCAUGGUUUAUUUAUUGGCUGAUCUAGACUCUCCGCAUAGGGGCCACUAAUCUUUAACCCUAUUAGUAUUCUUUCAGCAACACCAGAAGGACGAGCACGCUGAUACCUUCAGCCCUCGCUAAAUUCCGUCGUUGGGUUAGCGUGGGGUUUUACAAUGCACUUACUGACUUUAAUAUACGCGUCGCUCUGACACGCCUAUUUAAAUCGCCUACAAUUGCUCACAAGCAAUAUCAAAUCAAAGCUAAGACUCAGAUGUAAUUGUGUUUAUUUAAUUGAUCAAAUAAGCAUAAUUACAAUUAUGUUCACAAGUAUAAUUCCUGGGGUUAUCAAUUCCAGCAUAGAUCAAAGUCAAACUCAAACUCAAACUUUACAUUUGUAAACAUUCCUGAAUACAUUUAAUCUCACAGGCAGGCUGUUCUCGGUGUAGAGCUGCUUUUCACUGCGUGUUGACUGGGGAGCAAAACUAACAAUUACUUUCAUUUUAGUUUUCUGACAGCUCUAUAGCUUACAUUGGUUCACUCCUGUAAAUCUUUAGGAUACACCUGCAGUCUGUGGCUGUAGCUGGUGCUUAUACAAAUGAGCAAGAUGCUGUAUGAUUGAGCUGGUUAAAUAAGUAACUAAUAACUAAGAGCAGAAGUUGCCACAAAGUCAUGGUUUUGCCCUUACUGUUCACCCAUCCCUGGUGCGGACAGUUUUGAGAGAGUGAGGACUGUCCUUGUGGGCCACCGUACUCUUGUGCCCAGUGAGUGGGGUGCAGUGAGGGGCUCUGCUGGGCUCUGUGUCUGAGUGAGAGCAGGGUGCAUGUUUUAUAUUAGGUGAUAGUACUCUUGUGCCCAGUGAGUGGGGUGCAGUGAGGGGCUCUGCUGUGCUCUGUGUGGCUGUGGGUGGAGGCUUCAUUUGAGAUAAGUGGCACCUGACCACAGACUACAGAGGAAGUUAAAAGACCCACACUUCUCCACAGAGUAGUCAGUGUAAUGUGUAGUUCCGCUCCGGUGAUGCAGCACUGCUCCUGUGGCUGAUGUUCAUGUGAAUGUUUCAAACUUGGGUUUAGCUUUGGCUGCUGCAUGGCUCUUUGUUCACAAAAACAGUUUUCCACAUUUCAGGAUGACCGCUUUUACUGCAUAUGACUUAUUGUACAGUGCUGUAUUAUUUAUUGCAUCUUUCACAUUUCACAGAAAUGAACUACAUGAAUGGAAGAUGUGAUGCAGGCAAAACAUGAAGGUCCUACAAUAAAAAAAAUCAUAACUUUAUUCAUAGAGAUGUAUUUGUAAAAUACAUCAACAUACACUCAUUGAGCACUUUAUUCGGUAUUUAUUAGACUUAUUUUUAGAGGAAUUGGUCUUCUGCAGAUGUUGUCUAUCCACUUAGAGUUACGAUGCCUUGUGUGUUCAGAGAUGCUCUUCUGCAUGCCACUGUUGUGAUGUGCAGUUACUUGUGUUACAGUCACCUUUCCUGUUGACUUGAAAUCAUCUGGCCUUUCUCCUCUGACCUCUUUCAAUAACAAGGUGUUUAAGCUCACAGGACUGCUGCUCAUUGGAUCUUUUUGUUUUCUGGCACCACACUCUGCAAACUCUAGUGACUGUUGUGCGGGUUUGGUAUGAACAACUGAACCUCUUGACCAUGUCUGCAUGCUUUUAUGCACAACGUUGCUUCCAGAUGAUUUGCUGAUUAGAUAUUUGCUGAUUUACAGGUUAACCUAAUAAAAUGCUGUGUAAUGUCUGA